Ornithodoros turicata is the source of this 122-nucleotide small nuclear RNA. RefSeq annotates it as U5 spliceosomal RNA. The transcript has a single exon. The record is from RefSeq and is a predicted model, not a curated record. Lineage: Eukaryota; Metazoa; Arthropoda; Arachnida; Ixodida; Argasidae.
UCGCUUGCGAUACUGUUUCCGGGAAAGAAUUUUUCUUUCUCCUUUUACUAAAGAUCACCGUGGAGGGGGACAGUACAAUGAGCUUCUAGACAAUUUUUGAUAGGCCUAACCCGUUUGGGUAA